Molecule: long non-coding RNA, 454 nt
Organism: Macrobrachium nipponense
Lineage: Eukaryota; Metazoa; Arthropoda; Malacostraca; Decapoda; Palaemonidae
Exons: 3
Source: RefSeq, a predicted model, not a curated record
GAGUCUGUAUGUGGCGGCGCGUAAUCGGUUUCGUCCGACGUGUUCGGUGACCUAAACGAGCUAUUGGCAGUCUUGCUUUACCAAUGAGUAUAGAAACAGAGCUGGAACUGAGUGAAGAAUACUGUAGCUUCGUAUCGGAAGAACAUUGGGGAUUAGUCAUGGGUUUUUAAGUCGAAAAUGUUGUACAUGGGUCUAAUAGCAGAAGCAUGACGUCCUGGAUUUUGGUUUCCCAUUCGUGAGGUAGAGGUUGAUCGAAUGCUCUCGAUAUGACAGUCAGGUCAGCCAAGACGGGUUCAGAGUUGAAGGGACGAACGGACCCAACUUAUUUAAAGUACUAUCUACGGGUUUUCCGGACAGCCGUCAAAAAGGAUAGUCACCCUAUAGGAGUUGUCAGUGUCCUGGAAACGCCGUUCCAGCAUAAAGAUAAAAUAAGUCCGGGGAAGCUGACAGCUGG